CAUUUUUUGUUUUAUUUGAAAUGUGCUUGACUCACUCACCCAGUGUCAUUCCCAGCUGGGCUGGGAGCUCUGUCAGUUGGUUAUGUGGGUCACUGCAGCCUCUCAGGGUGUUAGCUUGAAGCUGGAGAGGAGGCAGGGCUGAGCCUUGAUGGAUGAAUGGAUGGAUGGAUGGAUGGAUGGAUGGAUGGAUGGAUGGAUUUUGAAUGAUUGGUUUAUUCUGAAUGGAAAGGCAGAUUUGCAGAGAGAAGGAAAGAUCAUCUAUCCACUGGCUCACUCCCCAAGUGGCCACAACAGCUGGAGCUGAGCUGAUCCAAAGCCAGGAGCUUCUUCUGGGUGUCCCACGCAGGUGCAGGGUCCCAAGGCUUUGGGCCGUCCUCUACUGCUUUUCCGGGCCACAAGCAGGGAGCUGGAUGGGAAGUGGAGCAGCUGGGACAUGGACCGGUGCCCAUACGGGACUCCAGCACUUGCAAGGUGCGACCUCAAUGUGCAAGGCCCUGAUACCCGGCAUGGGUACUUGGCUUCUGACCUGUGCCUGUGUCUUCAUCUGCUUGGAAAUCUCUGUAUGCAAAGCUGGAGGAGGGGGUCCGCUGUCAGGUCCUCCCCACCAUGACCCUUGGCUCUGCCCUGUUACUCCCACUGUGGGCUCCCAGCGGUCACUGUCCCUGGGACCAAGGGUCGGGACUUUGACCUGCCUCAACAACAACAUUCUGAGGAUUGACUGCAACUGGGCUGCCCCGGAAUUGGACCAGGGCUCCAGUCCCUGGCUGCUCUUCAGCAGCAACCAGGAGCCUGGCAGCCAGCAUAGGUGUGUGUUUCGGGGCAGUGUAUGCACCGUGCUGCUGCCGUCCUACGAGGUGCUAGUGCCCUCCGACAACUUCACCAUCACUUUGCACCAGUGUGUGGCUGGGAAGGAGCAGGUCCGCCUGGUGGACCAGCAGUACCUGCCCCGGAAAAAUGUGAAGCUGGACCCGCCCUCCAACCUGCAGAGCAACAUCAGUGCGGACUCCUGGGUCCUGACCUGGAGUCUGAAUCUCGCUCUGGAGCCCAUGGCGUCGCUUCUCAGCUAUGAGCUGGCGUUCAAGAGGCGGGAGCAGGCCUGGCAGUUUGCCCAGCACAAGGACCACAUUGUUGGGGUGACCAGAGUCACCAUCGAAGCCACCGAGCUGGACCCUGGCUCUGCCUAUGAGGCCAGGCUGCGUGUGCAGAUGGCCACACUGGAGGGUGAUGAUGAGGAGGAACGCUACGAAGGCCAGUGGAGCGAGUGGAGCCUGCCUGUGUGUUUCCGCUCUCCCCAGAGACAAGGUCUGCCGAUCCCACCAUGGGGGCAGCCGGACAGCGCCCUUGUUGCUGUAUCCAUCUUUGUCCUCCUGAGUGGCCUCAUCUAUCUUCUGUUCAAGCUGUCACCUAGGGUAAAGCGAAGCUUUGCUCAGGAUGUGCCCAGUCCAGCUGUGUUCUUCCGGCCUCUCUACAGUGUGCACAAUGGGAACUUCCAGACCUGGACAGGGGCCCCCAGAACAAGCUGGCAGCUGAGCCAGGACUGUGUCAACACGUUGCAAGGAACCUCGGGCUCCAGUGUCUGGGAGGUCACCACUCUGCUCAUGGACAGCCAGAAACAGCCCUGGCAGUCGGUGGGCCUGCAGAGGGAGGAAGGCUCUGGCAUUGGCCUUCUGGGGACCCCAAGCUCAGAGGAGGCGCUACCAGCACAGUGUGUGGGGUGGAGGGCAUGGCCACCUGUAUACCUGCCACAGGAGGACUGGACCCCUGGACCCCCCACUGGGCUGGUGGCCCCAGAGUCAGGGGGAGGAAGUGAGUACUGUGCUGUGGGCUGCUCUGGCAACUGCUGUCCCACAGUCCUUGUGGGGGACACUCAGAGCUCUGAGCCUGUGGCAGCUGAGGCCUGCAACCUUUCCUGGGACCCGCAGGGCUCGGAUCCGGAUCCGCAGCCAGGGUUCCUGUGUGGGAGCCGGUUGGAGUGAGGGUAAGACCCUGGCACAGGGCGGCACCUCAGUACCUGAGGCUGCUCUGCGACCUGCCUGGUUCCAGGAAAUGGGGUUCAGUCCUGGAGUCCCGGCUCUGCCUACUGCAUUGUGGUGACAGACUCUGCCUUUCGUGACAGAAGUGGGCUCGAGUCUCUAGAGCUAAUUCCUGCUGAGGCCUGGAUCUUCGAGCACAGGCACCUGUGCAGGGAUCAGAAGGCUUGUCUGGACCCAGGCAGGAGGUGCUUCCCCAUCCCCUCUGCCCAGGUCUUGUGGGGAGGGCCUCCACCCUCAGACACUCCCUCAGGUCCUAUGGGAGGGGGUUUCCACCCUCAGACACUCCUCCUCACCCCUCUACUCCAGUCUUGUGCGGGUCUCCCCACUCAGCAUGGACAACCAGCCUCCCUGUACCCUCCCCUCUCUAAGGAGGCAGUGUGGCCUCCUGAGGUGUUGUGCCCCAACCUCUCACUGGACCGGCCUCGGCUCCAUGAACACAGGGAGAUUCCCUGAGCAGGUGGAGACCUCUCUGCCUUUCCUGCCUAGACCACAGUGACACUGAAGCUGUUCCAAACUGCAGCUGGUUGGGAGGGCCCAGCCUGGCUUUCCUGGGUGUCUCUGGGCACAGCAGGACAAAGGCCAGUGAGCAGCUGGCCUUCACAGCAGUCGACACAGUUGGCUCCUGGAAGCUGAGCGCUGAGGUCACACCUCCCAGUUGGUCAGAACAAUAGGGGCAGCCUCUGAGGGCCCGGCUUCUGCGCCUCACCCUCUCCAGGGAUGGUCUGGGCCAAGAGAAGCUGAGGGAGAAGAAUGCACCCAUGGCUGCUGGCGCCAAGUAACAUAAGCUGACCCACUUGGAGCCUGCCAAGGACUGCCAGCACUGGGCGCCACAGCUGGCCAGCUUGGAACGUGCCAAGGGUUGCUGGCACCAGGUGCCACAGCUGGCUGGCUCAAAACGCACCAAGGGUUGCCAUCAUCAGAGGAUACAGCUGUCCAGCUCAGAGCCAGAGAUUGUUGUCUUCCAGCUCUGCAGCGGUCAAGUCUGGAAGAGAGGUGUCAGCAGCGCCGGGCUGUUUCUGAUGGCGCUGGGCAAGGCUUGGUCCUGGGGUCAGCAGCCUCUGUGGUUUCUGGGCUGUGACAGCAGACACAAGCUUCCCAAUGUCUUCCUCGUUCCUUCCUUCCCCAGGGACACAGUAACAGCAGGCUGAGCCUGGGCCUCAUGAGUUCGUCUUAAGCUGAUGGAUCUCUGCAUCUGAGGGGGAGGUCACACUCACAGGUACAGGCGUGAGGACUUCUGCAUAGAAAUUCAGGGCUUGGGCCUGACACAGUAGCCUAGUGGCUUAAGUCCUCACCUUGCAUGCGCUGGGAUCCCAUAUGGGCGCCAGUUCGUAUCCCAGCUGCUCAUCCAGCUCCCUGCUUGUGGCCUGGGAAAGCAAU
RNA transcript from Ochotona princeps (American pika), 3410 nucleotides. It is a transcript of the gene named interleukin-9 receptor-like, with no coding region annotated. The transcript is spliced from 10 exons. NCBI's taxonomy places the organism in Eukaryota, Metazoa, Chordata, Mammalia, Lagomorpha, Ochotonidae. The record is from RefSeq and is a predicted model, not a curated record.